CAUAGGUUUGGUCCCAGCCUUCCUGUUACUCUUAAUAAACUUACACAUGCAAGCAUCUACACCCCAGUGAGAAUGCCCUCUAGGUUAUUAAAACUAAGAGGAGCUGGCAUCAAGCACACACCCUGUAGCUCACGACGCCUUGCUUAACCACACCCCCACGGGAAACAGCAGUGACAAAAAUUAAGCCAUAAACGAAAGUUUGACUAAGUUAUAUUAAUUAGGGUUGGUAAAUCUCGUGCCAGCCACCGCGGUCAUACGAUUAACCCAAGCUAACAGGAGUACGGCGUAAAACGUGUUAAAGCACCAUACCAAAUAGGGUUAAAUUCUAACUAAGCUGUAAAAAGCCAUGAUUAAAAUAAAAAUAAAUGACGAAAGUGACCCUACAAUAGCCGACGCACUAUAGCUAAGACCCAAACUGGGAUUAGAUACCCCACUAUGCUUAGCCCUAAACACAGAUAAUUACAUAAACAAAAUUAUUCGCCAGAGUACUACUAGCAACAGCUUAAAACUCAAAGGACUUGGCGGUGCUUUAUAUCCUUCUAGAGGAGCCUGUUCUAUAUAAUCACUAGUGAAU
RNAcentral lists this ribosomal RNA (574 nucleotides) under Bos taurus (domestic cattle). RNAcentral describes it as "partial 12S ribosomal RNA". It matches the Rfam family "Bacterial small subunit ribosomal RNA", at positions 9 to 966 of the family's 1533-position model. Lineage: Eukaryota; Metazoa; Chordata; Mammalia; Artiodactyla; Bovidae. The record is from RNAcentral.